ACCUCACCUAACAGUUAUUGGUGACACAUAGAUGGAUGAGUAUACAACUCUUGUACAAUGCUUCUCAAGCAUGUUGCAGUGCAACUUGGUCUCUAAGCCAUGAAGAUCUCACCUAACAGUUAUUGGUCCAAUUUCUUAGUUAAGUCAGACCCACCGUAUAACCGUAGAAAUAAAGUCGUCAUUGGGUCCUCACCUAACAUUUAUUGGUGCCCAACCCCACCUUUACCCUACAACAUCUCAU
Molecule: long non-coding RNA, 241 nt
Filed under: Phoenix dactylifera (date palm)
Lineage: Eukaryota; Viridiplantae; Streptophyta; Magnoliopsida; Arecales; Arecaceae
Description: long non-coding RNA (PDAC_LNC018546)
Source: RNAcentral